CAAUGUUUGAUUACAUCAUUCACAUUUCCCCAAUCGAACCAGACUUUCUCGUCAAACAAUUGGAAUAAAGUGUACUGAACGGGGCUAGUGUGAAUACAGCCCUAUACAACUGCUUUUCUUUAUCCCUGAUUAUUUUUUACCAGAGUUCGCUAUAACCAAACCGAGAUCCAGGCACACAAUCAGUGUUUCAACAGCUUUGUAAAGGACGUAAAAACUCUGUGUGUGAAUAACAAGGUUCUGGUGACUGGCACAGAAAGUACAUGUAGAAACAAACACGCAGGCUAAAUGUCCGUCUUAGCUACCAGCUAAGACGGACAUGUUAGCUUAGCUAAUUUAGCUAGUUCGGCAGUAAGUACUACUAUUAAAUAUCGCUGAUAUUUAUCUUAGUAUUACACAGAGGUGGGUAGAGUACUCAAAAAUUGUUGUCGAGAAAUAACUUUGAUGUACUUAAUAUUGCUUAGAAGUUAGAUCAGAAUGAAGCGAGAGCUAGUUCUAAUAUGUGGCUUGUUUGUAGUUGUCAUAGCAACUCCAUAGCAACCGCUACGGCCGUUAGUAACGGUACCUUCCAAGAUGGCUGUCAGCUACAGAGCGUGAGACCCGUUCAGCAGGCUAGCAAAGAUCGUCAAAAAGCUAAAAACUCCUGGAUGGAAGCUGCAGAGUUGCUCUCCCUGGAAGAGGCUGUCUGCAGAAAGGUGUGGCGCUUUCAUUUCAUUUUUUAAAAGCAAAACGGAAGAAGUAGGGACGUAGUGGGGAGUUUAAAAUGAAAAGCAUGCUUACACAACCAGAAGCCCCUGAGAGUUGGAUGACAUGAUGACCCUGUUGCUCGGUGCGGAAGACUUUUGGCCGCUGCUCUCUGGAUCUGGAGGCGUAAUUCCUGUCCGUCUGGCAGUCGUUUUGACCGCCAUGCAUUUGUCUUCUGACAUAUUCUGGCUUUGUCCACUGCAGUCCAGCUUAGGUGAAUAAUCCUUUGAAAGAUUUGAAUAAGGUUUAAUUUAAAGCCACAUAACUGAACUUUGCUGUAAAAGUCACGAACGUCGGAGCGGAUCAAACACCUGGAAGUGAGGCCAGUCGGUCGGCAUGCCGGGCCCUGAGAGCUGAAUAAAGCUCCGUAUUGAAAACCAUUCAUCGUCUGUCGGCGCAGCGGCCGGAGCGAUGGCAGCUCACCUCUCGUUGG
Molecule: long non-coding RNA, 1174 nt
Organism: Poecilia latipinna (sailfin molly)
Lineage: Eukaryota; Metazoa; Chordata; Actinopteri; Cyprinodontiformes; Poeciliidae
Exons: 5
Source: RefSeq, a predicted model, not a curated record